RNAcentral lists this ribosomal RNA (253 nucleotides) under uncultured bacterium. RNAcentral's name for it is "partial 16S ribosomal RNA". It matches the Rfam family "Bacterial small subunit ribosomal RNA", at positions 524 to 776 of the family's 1533-position model. The record is from RNAcentral.
UACGGAGGGUGCAAGCGUUAUUCGGAUUUACUGGGCGUAAAGCGCAUGUAGGUGGUUCAAUAAGUCUGGUGUGAAAUCCCUGGACUCAAUUCAGGAAGUGCAUUGGAUACUGUUGGACUGGAGUGUAGGAGAGGAUGACGGAAUUCCUGGUGUAGAGGUGAAAUUCGUAGAUAUCAGGAGGAACAACAGAAGCGAAGGCGGUCAUCUGGACUACAACUGACACUGAGAUGCGAAAGCGUGGGGAGCAAACAGG